UUCUGAUAAAUUAAUACAUA
RNAcentral lists this unclassified non-coding RNA (20 nucleotides) under Mus musculus (house mouse). Its description in RNAcentral is "oocyte_clustered_small_RNA12682". Lineage: Eukaryota; Metazoa; Chordata; Mammalia; Rodentia; Muridae. The record is from RNAcentral.